Long non-coding RNA from Suricata suricatta (meerkat), 459 nucleotides. RefSeq lists it as uncharacterized. The record is from RefSeq and is a predicted model, not a curated record. The transcript has 4 exons. NCBI's taxonomy places the organism in Eukaryota, Metazoa, Chordata, Mammalia, Carnivora, Herpestidae.
UUUUUAGAGCCACAAAGAAUGCUCCCUGGGAAGAAAGAAGCAGCACAAAACCCCAAUCAGAUGGAAGGUUGAUCCACCAUUUGUGCAAUGCAUUGAUCUACAGACAAGAAUUAAUUAUGGAAUUCAACAGCUUCUGUCAAAAUGAGGAAAGAAACUCAGGAAGAUGAAGGAACUUCCGAAGAACAUAUAGAAUGUCAUUGCAAGGCAGACCAAAUAUGACAAUUUAAAUGUGUCCCCCGGGGCUUAUGUUGCAACAAUGUCAAAAAUUCUCGUGAUCCUGGUUGAUAUGGACAGUCUGACCCCCAGCUGCAGCCCUUGGAAAAGGAAACUCUGCUGCCCAGAAUACAGAACAAAUAAGACCUUUUCUUAUAAAGGGUUCUGUCAAAGGUCUUUUUUAUUUAUUUUGCCUUUUGUCACACUCAAUCAGAAGUCUGAAUAUUAAAAUUCUUUCCUGCUGUU